CCUACGGGUGGCAGCAGUGGGGAAUAUUGCGCAAUGGGCGAAAGCCUGACGCAGCGACGCCGCGUGAGGGAUGAAGGUCUUCGGAUCGUAAACCUCUGUCAGCAGGGAAGAACGGUCACUGUGCUAAUCAGCAGUGAAUUGACGGUACCUGCACAGGAAGCACCGUCUAACUCCGUGCCAGCAGCCGCGGUAAUACGGAGGGUGCGAGCGUUAAUCGGAAUUACUGGGCGUAAAGCGCUCGUAGGCGGUAUGUCAAGUCAAGGGUGAAAGCCCCGGGCUCAACGUGGGAACUGCCUUUGAAACUGGCAAACUGGAGUGUGGGAGAGGAUAGUGGAAUGCCAGGUGUAGGAGUGAAAUCCGUAGAUAUCUGGAGGAACAUCGGUGGCGAAGGCGACUAUCUGGCACAUAACUGACGCUGAGGAGCGAAAGCGUGGGUAGCAAACAGGAUUAGAUACCCUUGUAGUC
Molecule: ribosomal RNA, 465 nt
Filed under: uncultured bacterium
Lineage: Bacteria
Description: partial 16S ribosomal RNA
Rfam family: Bacterial small subunit ribosomal RNA
Source: RNAcentral